RNAcentral lists this ribosomal RNA (253 nucleotides) under uncultured bacterium. RNAcentral describes it as "partial 16S ribosomal RNA". It matches the Rfam family "Bacterial small subunit ribosomal RNA", at positions 524 to 776 of the family's 1533-position model. The record is from RNAcentral.
UACGAAGGGGGCUAGCGUUGUUCGGAAUUACUGGGCGUAAAGCGCGCGCAGGCGGUCGUUCAAGUCGCGUGUGAAAGCCCCCGGCUCAACUGGGGAGGGUCACGCGAUACUGAUCGACUCGAAGGCAGGAGAGGGUAGUGGAAUUCCGGGUGUAGUGGUGAAAUGCGUAGAGAUCCGGAGGAACCCCAGAGGCGAAGGCGGCGUCCUGGCUCACAACUGACGCUCAUACACGACAGCAUGGGGAGCGAACGGG